Sitophilus oryzae (rice weevil) is the source of this 749-nucleotide long non-coding RNA. RefSeq lists it as uncharacterized. The transcript has 2 exons. Lineage: Eukaryota; Metazoa; Arthropoda; Insecta; Coleoptera; Curculionidae. The record is from RefSeq and is a predicted model, not a curated record.
UCCAGUGGCGAAAAACUCAAUAUUAUUUUUAAGAAAUAAUAAAAAUAAUUAUGCCUUUUUUAUAAUAAACUAAUAAAUAAUUAACUAAGGCUAAUGUGAUCAGUAACAUUUUGUAAUGAAAAUUAAAUAAUCACUUGAAAAAUAAUUCCAUAUGCAUGCGAGACCACUCUGUAAUAAUGCCAAAAUCAGAGUAAUACGCCGAACGUGAUCCGCCGUGUAUGCUGGGUCCAAAGUCCACACACCAGUAAUACACUGAGAAACACGUGCGUGAAGCGGCUUUUGAUACCUGCCGCCGGCACAAGUGACGGAACUUAUAUUUUAUUCUGUAAACUUUGGUAUUUCUAUCUAAUAAAUCACUUUUUUGUAAUACAAAAUUUAUACCAAAUUUCAGAUGUGGUUCAGAAAAUGAUGGGUCAUUAAUAUAAAAUGGAGAGUAUAUCUAUAAAAUAUGCAUUUUUUUUACUAUGUAGUAUAUAUUAUACCAAAUUUGAGGUUUAGAAUAAUUAGUUAUCACAGAUAUCCAUUUUUAUAGAUGCCUAUCCCAGGUAUAUAUUUAUUUACCCAAAAAAUAUACCUAAUAUAACCAUUGUUGCACAUAGCUAUAUUUAUAUGUUGGAAACUUGUUCGGUUGAAAAGCUGAGUACAAUUUGCAUACUAUUGGCUACGUUCUAGACUUAUUUAGAAUCAAAGAAUACUUCAAGAUAUAUGUACAUAUAAUACACAUAUAAUAUUUUGAUUGCUGAUAAAAA